GCAAUUAAACAGACUCAGGUAACUGUUCAGAAAAUUGGAAAGGAAAUUGAAGAAAAACUAAGACUCACAUCUACAAGCAAUGAGCUGAAAAAAAAAAGUGAAUGCCUGCAGUUAAAAAUUUUGGUGCUUCAAAAUGAACUGGAACGGCAGAAGAAAGCUUUGGGACAGGAGGUGGCAUUACUGCAUAAGCAACAAAUUGCAUUACAAGACAAAGGUGAGUGGAAAUACCAUACAAACAGCCUAACCUCCACAUCAGUGGUUCUCCUUUCUUCUUCUUCACAAGCUCAAAUAGUCAUUUUUUGUGUAAAUACAGUCACACAUCACUUAAUGACAGGGAUAUAUUCUGGAAAUGCAUCCUUUGGUGAUUUCCUUGCUGAGCUGCCAUCAUAGAGUAUGCUUACACAAGCCCAGAUGGUAUAAACUACUACACACCUAGGCUAUAUGGUAUAGCCUCUGGCUCUUAGGCUAUAAAUUUGUACAGCAUGUUACCAUACUGAAUACUGUAGGCAACUAUAACACAAUGGUGAGUAUUUAUGUAUCU
Molecule: small RNA, 541 nt
Filed under: Pongo abelii (Sumatran orangutan)
Lineage: Eukaryota; Metazoa; Chordata; Mammalia; Primates; Hominidae
Description: retained intron
Source: RNAcentral